UACGUAGGGGGCGAGCGUUGUCCGGAUUUAUUGGGCGUAAAGAGCUCGUAGGCGGCUUGGCAAGUCGGGUGUGAAACCUCCAGCUCAACCUGGAGACGCCACUCGAUACUGCCAUGGCUAGAGUCCGGUAGGGGACCACGGAAUUCCUGGUGUAGCGGUGAAAUGCGCAGAUAUCAGGAGGAACACCGAUUGCGAAGGCAGCUCGCUGGGACGUCACUGACGCUGAGACGCGAAAGCGUGGGGAGCAAACAGG
Molecule: ribosomal RNA, 253 nt
Filed under: uncultured bacterium
Lineage: Bacteria
Description: partial 16S ribosomal RNA
Rfam family: Bacterial small subunit ribosomal RNA
Source: RNAcentral